Non-coding RNA from Solanum lycopersicum (tomato), 2088 nucleotides. NCBI's taxonomy places the organism in Eukaryota, Viridiplantae, Streptophyta, Magnoliopsida, Solanales, Solanaceae. The record is from RefSeq and is a predicted model, not a curated record.
UCAACCUUCUUGGAAGAACCAUCAUGAUCCUGCUCUUUUUUGGAUUGUAAUUCUUCUUCAAUGAUUUUUGAUAAAUUUUGAGAAUUCUCAUUUGUUUUGGACUGGAAAGUCGUCUCUUUGGGUUGAUCUUUACGAAAAAAUCUUCGCUUCUUCUGUGCACGAAAUGAUCCAACUAGUUCGUUGAUGGAAAGCUUAGAAAGAUCUUUCGUCUCCUCAGUGAUAACAACGAUGUACUCAAACUUUUCUGUGACACUAAUUAGAAUCUUUUCCACAACUUGUUCGUCAGAAUUGUAUCAUUAUGAUUUCUCAUUUCAUUAACUAUAUUCAUGACUCUUGUGCAAUAUUCAUCAAUUUUUUCAGAUUCUAUCAUCUUUAAGUUUUGAAAUUCUCUUCUAAGAGUUUGAAGAUUUAUAGUGCGUACCUUUUUGUAACCAUACACCUCAGUUUUCAGAAAAUUCCAAGCUUCCUUUGCAGUCUCACAAGUAGCAAUUUUUGCAAAAUAUAUUCUUGAGACUCUCAUUUGGAUUUUGCUCAAGGCUUUUGCAUCUUAACGAUAUGUAGCCUCAAGAUUUUUCAUCUCUGCUGUUGUAAGAUCACCAUCGUUGUCUGGCUCUUCAAAGCCAUUUGCAACAAUAGUCCACAAACCUUCAACUUUCAAAUGUGUUCUCAUUCUUAUUUUCCAGUAUUAAAAAUCAGUUCAUCAAAAAAUGAAGUAAUAACAAUUGAAGAAUCAACACCUUCAUUUGUUUUGGAUGUCAUAUUUUUUUCUUCACCUAACCCCAGAUUAAGAACGAAAAUCUGCUCUUGAUAUCAAUUUGUAGGAAAUAUGAAAGGAAAAUAAUAUUUUUAGAGAAUGCUCAAGUUUAUUAUAGGCCCCUCAAGGUCAAGGUCACUUAAGAUAAUUAUAAUCAUCAACUACAUCACUAUUUAUACUACUCAAAAUAGAAAACAAAAAGUCUAUCACAAUUUACUAGAUACAUUUACUACAAAAAAAACUAAGAGAUAAUUUUGAAACACUAAACAUUGAUGCCAACAUCCCAAAGGGGUUUCAUUCUUUUUCUUGCUUAAACUACUUAAGCAUUGGUCCAUUUUCAGAUAAUGUCACUUCAUUCCCGGAUUCUUGAUUACGAAGACGCUCCUAACAGUGAGAUACAUGAGGAAAAAUUUCAACUUUUCUCUCUUAGAAGUUUAACACUUUUUUGGCGACCUCAUUGGGACUCUCUGCCUGCAUGGCUUCAAAAUCUUUCUUAUUUAACAGAACUACAUCUUUAUGAUUUUGGAUUUGAAGCUGUGCCUGAAUGGAUAAAAUACAUGUCUUCCCUAGAACGAUUGGGCCUAUACUGGUGUGAAAAGGUGAGUUUUCUUCCCUCCGUUGAAGCCACAAAAUGCCUUGUCAAACUAAAAGAAGUGGAGAUUUACAAUUGCCCUGUAUUGAGUGAAAGAUGCUCUUCUUUGGGUGGAUCUAAUUCUGAAUGGUCCAAGAUUUCUUAUAUAAACCAAAUCAAAGUUGAUGACGAGCAAAUCACAUCCGAGGCUUCUUAUGAAGUGUUACCAUCUCCAACUCCCACAAAAAAAAGAAAAAAAGCGGAGGAAGAAAUAAGGUGAAGAGCAACAACUAGAUGCAGAUUUCCUUCCGUUUUUUCCCCCUUUUGAUGGAUGAUAUUUGGUACAUACGUAACAGAACCAGAAGUGGUCAGUCCAAACACAGACACCACAAGUAAUAAAGUGAUAAGUAGAAUAUUAUUCCCACAAGGACUUGUAAUAGCUAUUAACUAAAUCAAACUAUUAUGACUUAUUCAACUGACUCCAAGAUGUGAUUAUAAAUAAUUCAACUACUACAACAACACUACAAAGUAAGCAAGUAAAAGAAACGACGAGAGAUUCUUAACGAGAUACAAAAUCCUAGAGUAAAAAAAAACACUAUGUGAUUAAGUAUAUUUCUAUCCUAAACCUGAAUUUACUCCCCAAGGCCCAGGUUCAAGAACUUGCGCUAUUUCAGCAUUUUGUAGUGUUCUGCGUUAAGAUGGGUGGCCGAUGGACUGCAUGAGGUGGGUAAGACAUGUAGCUUAACAACUGUGUAACAGUAGC